RNAcentral lists this small nucleolar RNA (194 nucleotides) under Petasospora fabianii. RNAcentral describes it as "Cyberlindnera fabianii Small nucleolar RNA snR32". It matches the Rfam family "Small nucleolar RNA snR32". Lineage: Eukaryota; Fungi; Ascomycota; Saccharomycetes; Phaffomycetales; Wickerhamomycetaceae. The record is from Rfam by way of RNAcentral.
AACAUCAAUUUUCUCGCCCGAAUCCCCCUUCUUGGGCGUCUUAAGUGACUGUGAUGCGUCUUUCUGAGAUGCCACAGAGUACGAGUCCUUGGAUUAUGGCGAAGGGAUUUGGAGCGUAGAGAGAAUGAACGUUGCUGGGCGCCCGGUGUUGAUGUCAUUUCAUGAGACAUUGGGAAUCAGUUGUUUCGACAUUU